CAGCAGUCGACAAUACACAGUGUGAUUACUCGAUGACAAUUUUAGACCGCAUCAGACCACUUCAAUCGAAUCAAAAUAUAAUCUCAACUCAAGCUUUAGACUCAAGCUCCCAUAAAACGCAUAAUAAGUUGUAUAGAACUUGAACUCUGACUCGCAUGAAAAGGCAUGUCUGCGGUGUGAAGUACGCAGUAGCACGGAAGACCUGGAAGUAAAGGAUCGCCGGUUUAAGUCAAGUUCCAGAUGAGUGCCAAGACCGUCCUACAAGCCAUCCUGCUUCGCCUUCAUAUGUUUUCCUUUACUCCAUCUGUCCUGUAACAUAACGUGGUUAGCCUGUCGAUAGUAGUAGCUCCUGAUGAAGCCUUAUUAUAUCAUAGGUCCCUUCGGUUCGGAGGGACGUUUUCACUGCACUAUCCGACUCGGGAGACUAUAAGCGUUUCGACAAUUUGUCAAUGGUGGGAACAUUGUAAUCAAAUUAGCGGGAUUGAUUUGCGGAACAGGCGCCAUAAGGCUGUGUAUCCAGAUAAGGGAUUUCUUCUUGUCAAGCCUGGGUGCUGUACAUUAUAACUUACCGUAAUUUAUCAGUUGCCUGGAGGAAAGGGCAAUGUGAUAUUCUAGUAUGAAUUCAACUGGAAAU
Molecule: long non-coding RNA, 634 nt
Organism: Varroa destructor (honeybee mite)
Lineage: Eukaryota; Metazoa; Arthropoda; Arachnida; Mesostigmata; Varroidae
Source: RefSeq, a predicted model, not a curated record